RNAcentral lists this ribosomal RNA (329 nucleotides) under uncultured eukaryote. RNAcentral's name for it is "partial 18S ribosomal RNA". It matches the Rfam family "Eukaryotic small subunit ribosomal RNA", at positions 1470 to 1796 of the family's 1831-position model. The record is from RNAcentral.
CCCUUAGAUGUUCUGGGCCGCACGCGCGCUACACUGACAGAGCCAGCGAGUCUACCACCUUUGCCGGAAGGCAUGGGUAAUCUUGUGAAACUCUGUCGUGAUGGGGAUAGAACAUUGCAAUUAUUGUUCUUCAACGAGGAAUACCUAGUAAGCGUGAUUCAUCAGAUCGCGUUGAUUACGUCCCUGCCCUUUGUACACACCGCCCGUCGCUACUACCGAUUGAAUGGCUUAGUGAGGCCUCCGGAUUGGCUAUUGGGAGCUCGCGAGAGCACCCGACUGCCGAGAAGUUGUACGAACUUGNUNAUUUAGNGGAAGUAAAANUCGUANCA